GCCUACGGGAGGCAGCAGUAGGGAAUAUUGCGCAAUGGGGGAAACCCUGACGCAGCGACGCCGCGUGAGUGAUGAAGGCCUUAGGGUCGUAAAGCUCUGUUGAAUGGGAAGAAAAAAAUGACGGUACCAUUCGAGAAAGGAUCGGCUAACUUCGUGCCAGCAGCCGCGGUAAGACGAGGGAUCCUAGCGUUGUUCGGAAUCAUUGGGCGUAAAGCGUGUGUAGGCGGCCAUUCAAGUCAGUUGUGAAAGCCCCGGGCUUAACCCGGGAAGUGCUUCUGAUACUGUUGGGCUUGAGUACUGGAGAGGAUAGUAGAAUUCCAGGUGUAGUGGUGAAAUACGUAGAUAUCUGGAGGAAUACCGGUGGCGAAGGCGGCUAUCUGGCCAUGUACUGACGCUGAGACACGAAAGCGUGGGGAGCAAACAGGAUUAGAUACCCCGGUAGUC
This 444-nucleotide ribosomal RNA is filed under the name uncultured Bdellovibrio sp. RNAcentral's name for it is "bacterial SSU rRNA". It matches the Rfam family "Bacterial small subunit ribosomal RNA", at positions 337 to 795 of the family's 1533-position model. Lineage: Bacteria; Pseudomonadati; Bdellovibrionota; Bdellovibrionia; Bdellovibrionales; Pseudobdellovibrionaceae. The record is from RNAcentral.